AUUGCCCCAGUAACGGCGAGUGAAGCGGCAACAGCUCAAAUUUGAAAUCUGGCCCUCGGGUCCGAGUUGUAAUUUGUAGAGGAUGCUUUUGGCGAGGUGCCUUCCGAGUUCCCUGGAACGGGACGCCAUAGAGGGUGAGAGCCCCGUCUGGUCGGACACCGAGCCUCUGUAAAGCUCCUUCGACGAGUCGAGUAGUUUGGGAAUGCUGCUCAAAAUGGGAGGUAUAUGUCUUCUAAAGCUAAAUAUUGGCCAGAGACCGAUAGCGCACAAGUAGAGUGAUCGAAAGAUGAAAAGCACUUUGAAAAGAGGGUUAAAAAGUACGUGAAAUUGUUGAAAGGGAAGCGCCUAUGACCAGACUUGAGCCCGGUGAAUCAUCCAGCGUUCUCGCUGGUGCACUUUGCCGGGUCCAGGCCAGCAUCAGUUUGGCGCGGGGGAUAAAGGUGGUGGGAAUGUGGCUCCCUCGGGAGUGUUAUAGCCCGCUACGUAAUACCCUGCGCCGGACUGAGGUACGCGCAUUGCAAGGAUGCUGGCGUAAUGGUCAUCAGCGACCCGUCUUGAAACACGGACCAAGGAGUCGUCUUCGUAUGCGAGUGUUCGGGUGUCAAACCCCUACGCGUAAUGAAAGUGAACGCAGGUGAGAGCUUCGGCGCAUCAUCGACCGAUCCUGAUGUUCUCGGAUGGAUUUGAGUAAGAGCAUACGGGGCCGGACCCGAAAGAAGGUGAACUAUGCCUGUAUAGGGUGAAGCCAGAGGAAACUCUGGUGGAGGCUCGCAGCGGUUCUGACGUGCGAAUCGAUCGUCAAAUAUGGGCAUGGGGGCGAAAGACUAAUCGAACCUUCUAGUAGCUGGUUUCCGCCGAAGUUUCCCUCAGGAUAGCAGUGUUGAACUCAGUUUUAUGAGGUAAAGCGAAUGAUUAGGGACUCGGGGGCGCUAUAUUGCCUUCAUCCAUUCUCAAACUUUAAAUAUGUAAGAAGCCCUUGUUACUUAAUUGAACGUGGGCAUUCGAAUGUAUCAACACUAGUGGGCCAUUUUUGGUAAGCAGAACUGGCGAUGCGGGAUGAACCGAACGCGAGGUUAAGGUGCCGGAGUGGACGCUCAUCAGACACCACAAAAGGUGUUAGUACAUCUUGACAGCAGGACGGUGGCCAUGGAAGUCGGAAUCCGCUAAGGACUGUGUAACAACUCACCUGCCGAAUGUACUAGCCCUGAAAAUGGAUGGCGCUCAAGCGUCCCACCCAUACCUCGCCCUCAGGGUAGAAACGAAGCCCUGAGGAGUAGGCGGACGUGGAGGUCAGUGACGAAGCCUA
RNAcentral lists this ribosomal RNA (1306 nucleotides) under Cordyceps cateniobliqua. RNAcentral describes it as "partial large subunit ribosomal RNA". It matches the Rfam family "Eukaryotic large subunit ribosomal RNA", at positions 74 to 1412 of the family's 3401-position model. Lineage: Eukaryota; Fungi; Ascomycota; Sordariomycetes; Hypocreales; Cordycipitaceae. The record is from RNAcentral.